AUGAAUGAAUAGAAGGAUGCUUGAGUGAAGAAGUGUAGGAGUGAAUGAAGUUCACCUGGUCCUGGGGUUGCGGGGCAGGAAGCUUCUCCAGAGGGCCAGGGGGGCACAAUCCAACCUUGAGGCAGGGGCCUGGCCAAGAUGACCUUGGGAGAGGUUGAGGAGUGUAACUUGGGGGGAUAGGCCAGGGUCACUUUCCCCGCCCAUCCUUUAUGUAGGCAGCCCCGUGUCAUAGACCCCCUCUGUGUCCCCUGCUGCAGCAAAGUCUGAGAAGGUAGUUGCUGGGAGCUGUUGGCCUGGAUGGGCCCUCUACGCCCUGCUCGUGCCCCUCGGCCCCGGGGCCUGGGCUCCCGCUAUCCCAGCCAGGGCCUGGGCAGGCGGCGAUUUCGUCUCCGUCGCCUCCGACUGAGAACAACACCCCAGAGAAUGUUCAAGCCCAGCCGGCCGAGGUACCGGACCCAGUGUGGGAACGCUGCCAAUUUACUAACUUCCAGCUCCGAAAUUUUGCAAGAAAUUGAGGUCCAGAGAAGGGAAGGGACUGGUACAAGGUCAUAUAGCAACCUUUAGACAACUGUAUCAUCUGGGGAAACCACUCUUCUUCUGAGGAAAGACCCUUGUUUCCUGCGUGACUUGGCCACACAGAAACCCAGCCUUGGAGCAGCCAUUGAAUAUAUCUACUUCAGCCCUGUUGGUCUCAGCUUCCUUAUUUCCUUUGGGGGUGAUUCGGGGAACACAGAACUGAACUGCAGGCUGUC
This 752-nucleotide long non-coding RNA is filed under the name Phascolarctos cinereus (koala). RNAcentral's name for it is "lncRNA (ENSPCIG00000029024.2)". Lineage: Eukaryota; Metazoa; Chordata; Mammalia; Diprotodontia; Phascolarctidae. The record is from RNAcentral.